GGCCGGAUGGUGUAGUUGGUUAUCACGUACGCUUCACACGCGUAAGGUCUCGGGUUCGAACCCCGAUCUGGUCA
Aspergillus avenaceus is the source of this 74-nucleotide non-coding RNA. Lineage: Eukaryota; Fungi; Ascomycota; Eurotiomycetes; Eurotiales; Aspergillaceae. The record is from the annotation of a GenBank genome assembly.